GAAAAGUUUUAUACUCCUACAACAAUACAAUCUUUAACAUUGCCACCAGCGAUAUUUGGAAGAAGAAAUAUUCUUGGAGCUGCUGAAAAAGGCAGUGGGAAAACUUAAGCAUUUGGUAUUCCUCUAUUUUAAAUGGCAUAUUAGAAUUAAAGAAAAAACAUUUAUACACACAGAAAACAAGAUGAUGGAUUAGAAAAUGAAAGCAAUGAGGAAGAAUUGGAAUGUUCCAACGAUGAAGUAGAUAGAAACUGAAAGAUUCUGCUAAGAAGUAUGACGAAUAAAGAAGAGCAUAGUACGACGUUGUAAGAGAUGAUUUUGUUAGGAAAUAAGACGUUAAAAGAAAAAAACACGACGAUUAUUAAUUAUUGAUUUGGACAGUUAUAGACAAUUACGAUUUUUUCCCCUAUCAAAUUAUAUCUUUAAAUAAAUCUAUAUAGUAAUAUAUAUGUUAUAGUCCAAGUGGGAAAUGCCGCAAUUAUGAGCAAUUCCAGGCGUUUUUAGGCGACGUAGAAAACAGGAGAAUUGCGCUUUUCCUAAGCAUUGUACAUAAUGCUUACUUAGAUAUUCUAUAGAACACCAAAUGCAAUUUAAGCAAUGUUGAGAAGAAUACAUUAUCGGGCAACAUACAUCAUGCCGCCCGUCACACUCGACCACACCAAAAUCAAACACACACAACGCAAAAGCGGGUGUUUUCAGAACAACUUUAGUCGCUUUCCGCGCAAGAUAUGUUAAUUUCCUAAGUCAAUGAGCCUCGUGGGCGUCAGUAUGUUCGUAUGACUAUCCAAUGAGGAACAAAGUUCGUAUAUUCUGAAAACUGUUCGUUGUGGAAAGGAAGUAACUUGUCAGGGAAGUGGGGGCAGGAAUAGGUUUAUAAAGAAGAUCAGGAAGCAAACCAAGUCACUUUCGUUUGCCCUGUUGAAUCUUGUGUUUGUGUUUCUCGUUAAUAAAUGUGUAUCUGCUUUACGUAAAA
Molecule: long non-coding RNA, 970 nt
Filed under: Polistes fuscatus (common paper wasp)
Lineage: Eukaryota; Metazoa; Arthropoda; Insecta; Hymenoptera; Vespidae
Description: uncharacterized LOC122523808
Source: RNAcentral